CUGGUCGGAGCGAUCGGUCCGCCUCGAUUCGGGGUGUGUACUUUGUGUCGUCUCCAGACCAUCCUUGAGGCGAGCUGUCCUGGCAUUGAGUUGUUGGGGCAGGGAACCUCAUCUUUUACUGUGAAAAAUUAGAGUGUUUAAGCAGGCUUACGCCGUUGAAUACAUUAGCAUGGAAUAAUAAGAUAGGACUUUGGUGGUCUAUUUUGUUGGUUUGCACACCGAAGUAAUGAUUAAGAGGGACAGUUGGGGUAUUCGUAUUUAAUUGUCAGAGGUGAAAUUCUUGGAUUUCUGAAAGACGAACUACUGCGAAAGCAUUUACCAAGGAUGUUUUCAUUAAUCAAGAACGAAAGUUAGGGGAUCGAAGAUGAUUAGAUACCAUCGUAGUCUUAACCAUAAACUAUGCCGACUCGGGAUUGGCGGGCGUUAACUUUAUGACUCCGUCAGCACCGUAUGAGAAAUCAAAGUCUUUGGGUUCCGGGGG
Molecule: ribosomal RNA, 481 nt
Filed under: uncultured eukaryote
Lineage: Eukaryota
Description: SSU rRNA
Rfam family: Eukaryotic small subunit ribosomal RNA
Source: RNAcentral